UAUGUGAUCGUCUCUCGCAUAUCAAUAAGCGGAGGAAAAGAAACUAACAAGGAUUCCCUUAGUAACGGCGAGUGAAGCGGGAAGAGCUCAAAUUUGAAAUCUUCAAGGUUUUACCUUGACGAAUUGUAGUUUAAAGAAGUGUUUUCUGUUGAAGUUUUGGUAAAAGUUCUUUGGAAUAGGACAUCAUAGAGGGUGAGAAUCCCGUAUUUGACCAUUAUUUUCAGCUGUGCGAUACACUUUCAAAGAGUCGGAUUGUUUGGGAAUGCAGUCCAAAAUGGGUGGUAAAUUUCAUCUAAAGCUAAAUAUUGGCGAGAGACCGAUAGCGAACAAGUACCGUGAGGGAAAGAUGAAAAGAACUUUGAAAAGAGAGUUAAACAGUACGUGAAAUUGUCAAAAGGGAAGCGUUUGACACCAGUGUUGUUUUCUCGAAAAUCAAUUAAAAAGAGUUAGAUUUUGUUGUGUAUUGACCUUAACAGCUUGCAUUUCAAUUUUCUUGCUUUUUUUAAUGCACUUUUCGUUUAACAAGUCAACAUCAGUUUCUUUUGUUGUAAAAAGGUCAUUGGAAGGUGGCUUUCUUUUCGGAGAAAGUGUUUAUAGCCUUUGACUCCUGCAAUCGGAGAGACUGAGGUCUGCAGCGUAGAUCCUUCGGGGUUAGAUACAUUUGUGCUAAGUUAUAGCUUUUUAUAGACAACUUGUUGACUAUGAUUAGUCUUGUAGCUUACUCGCUUAUGCUAUUUUACCUACGCUUAGGAUGUUGAAGAUGUAGCACAUCAU
This 774-nucleotide ribosomal RNA is filed under the name uncultured Neocallimastigales. Its description in RNAcentral is "partial large subunit ribosomal RNA". It matches the Rfam family "Eukaryotic large subunit ribosomal RNA", at positions 24 to 620 of the family's 3401-position model. Lineage: Eukaryota; Fungi; Neocallimastigomycota; Neocallimastigomycetes; Neocallimastigales. The record is from RNAcentral.